GACGAACGCUGGCGGCGUGCUUAACACAUGCAAGUCGAACGGAAAGGCCCUGCUUUUGUGGGGUGCUCGAGUGGCGAACGGGUGAGUAACACGUGAGUAACCUGCCCUUGACUUUGGGAUAACUUCAGGAAACCGGGGCUAAUACCGGAUAGGAGCUCCUGCUGCAUGGUGGGGGUUGGAAAGUUCCGGCGGUUGGGGAUGGACUCGCGGCUUAUCAGCUUGUUGGUGGGGUAGUGGCUUACCAAGGCUUUGACGGGUAGCCGGCCUGAGAGGGUGACCGGCCACAUUGGGCCUGAGAUACGGCCCAGACUCCUACGGUAGGCAGCAGUGGGGAAUAUUGCACAAUGGGCGGAAGCCUGAUGCAGCAACGCCGCGUGCGGGAUGACGGCCUUCGGGUUGUAAACCGCUUUCGCCUGUGACGAAGCGUGAGUGACGGUAAUGGGUAAAGAAGCACCGGCUAACUACGUG
This 468-nucleotide ribosomal RNA is filed under the name uncultured bacterium. RNAcentral's name for it is "partial 16S ribosomal RNA". It matches the Rfam family "Bacterial small subunit ribosomal RNA", at positions 28 to 507 of the family's 1533-position model. The record is from RNAcentral.